This is a long non-coding RNA of Sinocyclocheilus anshuiensis, 216 nucleotides long. RefSeq lists it as uncharacterized. The record is from RefSeq and is a predicted model, not a curated record. The transcript is spliced from 3 exons. Lineage: Eukaryota; Metazoa; Chordata; Actinopteri; Cypriniformes; Cyprinidae.
AUAAAAAAGGACACACUCUGGUGCUGCUGGACACAGAGGGACUUGGUGACGUGGCGAAAGGAGACUCUAAGAAUGACGGCUGGAUCUUCUGUCUGGCUGUUCUGCUCAGCAGCACAUUGGUGUAAAACAGCCGCGGCACCAUCGAUAACACUGCAGUGGAAAAGCUGCACUACGUUGCUGAGCUCGCUGAGCAUACCAAGAUCAGGUCAGCAGAAG